AGAUACCCUAUUAUUCUUAAGGUAAAGUUGGUGUGGGUAGUAUUAGUUAAGGUCUUGAAACCCAAAGGAUUUGGCGGUGCUUUAAUCUCUUCAGAGGAGCCUGUUCUGUGAUCGAUGGUCCGCGUUAAUGAAUACUUUGUUUUGUUAGGCAGUUUGUAUAUCGCCGUUGUUCAGAGGAUUUUUAAAAAAUGUAAUUUUCUAUAAUUUUUAUUGGAAUGUAAGGCAGGUCAAGGUGCAGUUUAUAAUAAAGGGAGAAAUGGGCUACAAUAUAUUUUAUAUAUUACGGAUUAUUUACUAAUAAUGGUGGGUAAGAAGGAGGAUUUGAAUGUAAUUUUUAGGGGUAGGAGUGAAUUGGGCUCUAGGGCAUGCACACAUCGCCCGUCGCCCUCAACUUUUAGGUGAGAUAAGUCGU
This 412-nucleotide ribosomal RNA is filed under the name Atelurinae sp. PU239. RNAcentral's name for it is "partial small subunit ribosomal RNA". The record is from RNAcentral. Lineage: Eukaryota; Metazoa; Arthropoda; Insecta; Zygentoma; Nicoletiidae.